This 252-nucleotide ribosomal RNA is filed under the name uncultured Bacteroidales bacterium. Its description in RNAcentral is "partial 16S ribosomal RNA". It matches the Rfam family "Bacterial small subunit ribosomal RNA", at positions 524 to 776 of the family's 1533-position model. The record is from RNAcentral. Lineage: Bacteria; Pseudomonadati; Bacteroidota; Bacteroidia; Bacteroidales.
UACGGAGGAUGCGAGCGUUAUCCGGAUUUAUUGGGUUUAAAGGGUGCGUAGGCGGUAUGGUAAGUCAGCGGUAAAAUUUCGGGGCUCAACCCCGUCGUGCCGUUGAAACUGGCGUUCUUGAGUGAGCGAGAGGUAUGCGGAAUGCGUGGUGUAGCGGUGAAAUGCAUAGAUAUCGCGCAGAACUCCGAUUGCGAAGGCAGCAUACCGGCGCCCGACUGACGCUGAGGCACGAAAGCGUGGGGAUCGAACAGG